UAAGGAGCCAGCGGCCGAAGGUGGGAUUAGUGAUUGGGGUGAAGUCGUAACAAGGUAGCCGUAGGAGAACCUGCGGCUGGAUCACCUCCUUUCUAAGGAGA
Molecule: ribosomal RNA, 101 nt
Filed under: Clostridium botulinum
Lineage: Bacteria; Bacillati; Bacillota; Clostridia; Eubacteriales; Clostridiaceae
Also listed under: 1 other name
Description: partial 16S ribosomal RNA
Rfam family: Bacterial small subunit ribosomal RNA
Source: RNAcentral